CGUGCAUCCCAUGGAAUAAAGUCUGAGUUCUCCAUAGCUUUAACCAAAGUUAGAUUGUCUAAUUCUAACUCGAGGGGAUAGUGUCUUCGAGGGACUAAGAACUUUAGGGUUUCCAAGAGAGCCACAAAUUCCGCUUGAGAGGCUGAGGAGACAUGGAUUUGUUUUGCAAAGCCAUCAACAAGUGUCCCCUCUGAGUUUCGAACGAUGCAAGCGAUUACGCCUUCCAUGGAGCUUUCGACGAAGGAUCCAUCAAUAUUGACCUUUAAAGAUCUGCCCUUUGGGGGUUUCCAGAUCUCAGAUGAGGUGGGUGCGUCAAGGUCUGGUUUUUGCUUUGAAUUCCAUCUCCUGUAAUUGCUGAGAGAAGUUAGAGCUCCCUGUAGUGCUUGAACUGGGUCUGAGAGUUUCUUUCGAAAGAUAAAGGUGUUGCGGGAAGUCCAAAUAAACCAGAAGAUGGUUGCAACAAGUUCCAGAGAAGGGAUGGUUGAGCCCAUAUUUCUCUUGUCCAGGGACAAAGAAGAAGGAGAUGCUCUGUGGAUUCCACCUGGUCUUUACACAGUGAGCAUAAAGGAUAUGGUACUAUUUUUCGCUUGUGUAAGUUUUCCAUUGUGGGUAGACUGUUCUGACGUGCAUUCCAUAGAAAGAACUUAAUUUUAGGGAUGGUUUCCAUUUUCCAAAUCUUAUUCCACAAAGCUCGAGGAGCCGAGAAAGAUGAGGAGGCCAUUGGAGUUUUUCGGAUAUUCUCAUUUAGCAGAUACUACCUGAAGUUUUCUUGGAAAGUUUGCUACUUGUUCAGGAAUUGAGGACCAGGCUUCAUUAACUACAUGGACAAAAUCAUCAGCUUCAAACCAGGCCACGAGCAUCUAUUCUCACUUCUUUCACCUGGCCUGCUAAGCUAACUAGAGAUUCUACUACUUUCGAGGAAAACCAUCCGAUUGGCAAAUUAACUAUUCGAAUCCAGAAGAGAAGAGCCAAUCGAGCUGAGGCCUCAUCAUCAUCUUCCAUUUCUGAAAGAUUGGUACCUUGAUAAUCGAUUUGAAGGCAAAUAUAGAAGUGGAGAAGAGGGCAGCGGCUAGGGUUUUUUGGGGAGUGACGUCAAAACCCUAAAUGAAAAAAGGGGGGAAAGAAGAAAUGAAGCACCAAAAGCUGCGUGGGAAUUCAUGGUGAUGAUUGAGCAAACCAGUAGGGAUCUUGUUAGGGUUUGUAAGUUGAGGGAGCCAUUGCUGCACAGUCGGUAGAGGAGAGCUACACACUCGGUA
Long non-coding RNA from Syzygium oleosum, 1256 nucleotides. RefSeq lists it as uncharacterized. Lineage: Eukaryota; Viridiplantae; Streptophyta; Magnoliopsida; Myrtales; Myrtaceae. The transcript is spliced from 5 exons. The record is from RefSeq and is a predicted model, not a curated record.